GGAAGGGGUGUAUUUAUUAGAUAAAAAACCAAUGCCCUUCGGGGCUCCUUGGUGAAUCAUAAUAACUUAACGAAUCGCAUGGCCUUGCGCCGGCGAUGGUUCAUUCAAAUUUCUGCCCUAUCAACUUUCGAUGGUAGGAUAGUGGCCUACCAUGGUGGCAACGGGUAACGGGGAAUUAGGGUUCGAUUCCGGAGAGGGAGCCUGAGAAGCGGCUACCACAUCCAAGGAAGGCAGCAGGCGCGCAAAUUACCCAAUCCCGACACGGGGAGGUAGUGACAAUAAAUACUGAUACGGGGCUCUUUUGGGUCUCGUAAUUGGAAUGAGUACAAUCUAAAUCCCUUAACGAGGAACAAUUGGAGGGCAAGUCUGGUGCCAGCAGCCGCGGUAAUUCCAGCUCCAAUAGCGUAUAUUAAAGUUGUUGCAGUUAAAAAGCUCGUAGUUGAACCUUGGGUCUGGCUGGCCGGUCCGCCUCACCGCGAGUACUGGUCCGGCUGGACCUUUCCUUCUGGGGAAUCUCAUGGCCUUCACUGGCUGUGGGGGGAACCAGGACUUUUAC
RNAcentral lists this ribosomal RNA (556 nucleotides) under uncultured Aspergillus. RNAcentral describes it as "SSU rRNA". It matches the Rfam family "Eukaryotic small subunit ribosomal RNA", at positions 194 to 755 of the family's 1831-position model. Lineage: Eukaryota; Fungi; Ascomycota; Eurotiomycetes; Eurotiales; Aspergillaceae. The record is from RNAcentral.